UUGUUUUUUAAAAUUUAUUGUAUUUAUAUAAUUUCAAUUUAAGUAACACAUAAAAAAAGAUAAAAAUGAAACAUCAAUUAUUUUCAUCGAAAGAAGAUUCAUACACUUACGAUAGUAUAUAGUUAAAUCGCUACUAAUAGAGAAUGAACUCCAACUCAUAUCAAUUCAUACAAAACAACAUAAUGUGGAAAGUUACAUUGGUCCAAAAAGUACAUAUCUAUAUAAUAUUUCAAUGGCUGGCUUCAUUCUAAUGUGGUGCGUUAUUGCCUCUAUGGCUUGGUCCUGAAGGUGGUACUUUACUCUUUGCAAGGAGAAAAAAGGAAGCUUUACCUGAAUCCACCAUUAAUGUUCUACAAGCUUCUCUUUUAAUAUUUUCUAUACCCUGAAACUUUGAUCUAGUUGCAAAAAUCCCAUGACACAUUAACAUUAGUAAGAUUAUGAGACAAGAAAGAGAUGAAGUUUUGGAAACCAUAAUGUAUAG
This 481-nucleotide long non-coding RNA is filed under the name Lathyrus oleraceus (garden pea). Its description in RNAcentral is "Pisum sativum (pea) long non-coding RNA (PSAT_LNC003785)". Lineage: Eukaryota; Viridiplantae; Streptophyta; Magnoliopsida; Fabales; Fabaceae. The record is from RNAcentral.